This 297-nucleotide signal recognition particle RNA is filed under the name Cebus imitator (Panamanian white-faced capuchin). RNAcentral's name for it is "Metazoan signal recognition particle RNA (ENSCCAG00000004343.1)". It matches the Rfam family "Metazoan signal recognition particle RNA". Rfam says of the family: The signal recognition particle (SRP) is a universally conserved ribonucleoprotein. It is involved in the co-translational targeting of proteins to membranes. The record is from RNAcentral. Lineage: Eukaryota; Metazoa; Chordata; Mammalia; Primates; Cebidae.
GCCGGGCACAGUGGCGCGUGCCUGUAGUCCCAGCUGCUUGGGAGGCUGAGGUGGGAGGAUCGCUUGAGUCCAGGAGUUUUGGACUGUAGUGGCUAUGCCAACCAGGCAUCCACACUAAGUUCAGCAUCAAUAUGGUGGCCUCCCGGGAGCAGGGGAUCACCAGGUUGCCUAAGAAGGAGUGAGCUGGCCCAGGUUGGAAACGGAGCAGGUCAAAACUCCUGUGCUGAUCAGUAGUGGGAUCGCAUCUGUGAAUAGCCACUGCACUCAGCCUGGGCAACAUAGCAAGACUCCGUCUCU